GAUGAAGAACGUAGCGAAAUGCGAUAAGUAAUGUGAAUUGCAGAAUUCAGUGAAUCAUCGAAUCUUUGAACGCACAUUGCGCCCGCCAGUAUUCUGGCGGGCAUGCCUGUUCGAGCGUCAUUUCAACCAUCAAGCCCCAGGCUUGUGUUGGGGACCUGCGGCUGCCGCAGGCCCUGAAAACCAGUGGCGGGCUCGCUGUCACACCGGGCGUAGUAGAUUUUAUCUCGCUCAGGGCGUGCUGCGGGUUCCAGCCGUUAAAAAGCCUUUUUUACCCAAGGUUGACCUCGGAUCAGGUAGGAAGACCCGCUGAACUUAAGCAUAUCAAUAAGCGGAGGA
RNAcentral lists this unclassified non-coding RNA (336 nucleotides) under soil metagenome. RNAcentral's name for it is "partial contains 5.8S ribosomal RNA, internal transcribed spacer 2, and large subunit ribosomal RNA". The stretch from base 1 to 120 matches the Rfam family "5.8S ribosomal RNA", at positions 35 to 154 of the family's 154-position model. The record is from RNAcentral.